AGAUGAGACUUUUGACUUUGAAAUUUUCAAAAUGGCUGCCGUUGCCAUGGAAACAGCAGAAAUGUGAAAUUUUUAAAAAUGCUCUGAAUGUACUGAAAAUUUACAGAAAAAUGUAUUGCCAUGCAUAUAUGUGCAUUCACUGUUAAACAUUUUUGAAAUGGCUGCCGCUUAGUGGCAAUUGGGGGAAGGGUGACAUCCGCUAUUGCUUGCAAUGGCAAUUCUAGUUAUUUUUAUUCUUCCACACUUUUUUGUCCAUUCUAUUUCUCGGAAUUGGCUUGAACAAUAUUGAUGGAACUAUACCAUAAUGUAGACCACCACAUUCUAUAGUGCAGUGGGGUAUGGCACCAUCAAGAUGGCUGCCGUUGCCAUGGAAACGAAACAAAUGUGAAAAAAUCCUGUUUUUUGUUUUGGUGAACUGUUUUGAUAUGCUUAAACUCAGAACCAUUAUAUUUUGAUACAAUGUAGGUGCCGGCCAUAUACAGGUGUUGGAUGAUUUUGGCACUCAUUGGAACUACUAUGUUGCCAUGGAAACUACACCAAAAAUUUCAAAAAUAUCAAAAUGCUCCAAACUUCAUGAAACUUCACAGUAACGAUGAGCAACAUUGGAAGAUGUGGAAUUUGGCGUUGGAAUUUCCAAAAUAUCUGUUGUUACCAUGGAAACAAUGCAAAAAGGUCAAAAAUUUCAAAAAAAAAUAAAAAUGCUGUAAACUGGAUGAAACUUUACAGGAAUGGUCACUGGCAUAAGCAAAGUUGACAUUUGAAGUUGGAAUUUUCAAAAUGGCCGCCGUAACCAUGGAAACAGCAAAAAUGUCAAAAACUUCAAAAUGCUCCAAACUUAAUGAAACUUAACAAAUAUGAUAAUUUGAAUGUGUAGAUGCACACUUUGACUUUGGAAUUUUCUAGAUGGCUGCCGCUCGCCUGGCAAUGGGGAAGGGUGCCAUCCGCUAUUGCUUGCAAUGGCAAAUCUAGUUAUGGCACCCUCAACGGAUGUUGGGGUGACAUAUUGUUAUUCUACGUUUCUUUUUUUUCUUAUUAUGGCACCCUCAACGGAGUUGGGGUGACAUAUUGUUAUUGUUCGUUUAUCAUUAUUAUUAUGUCACACCCGAUCGACAAUGUCGGGUGACAUAUUGCUUUUCCUCCGUUUCUUUGUUAUUAUUAUUCU
RNAcentral lists this long non-coding RNA (1162 nucleotides) under Mytilus galloprovincialis (Mediterranean mussel). Lineage: Eukaryota; Metazoa; Mollusca; Bivalvia; Mytilida; Mytilidae. The record is from RNAcentral.